RNAcentral lists this ribosomal RNA (366 nucleotides) under uncultured Pseudomonas sp. RNAcentral's name for it is "bacterial SSU rRNA". It matches the Rfam family "Bacterial small subunit ribosomal RNA", at positions 1017 to 1382 of the family's 1533-position model. The record is from RNAcentral. Lineage: Bacteria; Pseudomonadati; Pseudomonadota; Gammaproteobacteria; Pseudomonadales; Pseudomonadaceae.
CCUUCGGGAACGUCUGACACAGGUGCUGCAUGGCUGUCGUUAGCUCGUGUCGUGAGAUGUUGGGUUAAGUCCGUAACGAGCGCAACCCUUGUCCUUAGUUACCAGCACGUUAUGGUGGGCACUCUAAGGAGACUGCCGGUGACAAACCGGAGGAAGGUGGGGAUGACGUCAAGUCAUCAUGGCCCUUACGGCCUGGGCUACACACGUGCUACAAUGGUCGGUACAAAGGGUUGCCAAGCCGCGAGGUGGAGCUAAUCCCAUAAAACCGAUCGUAGUCCGGAUCGCAGUCUGCAACUCGACUGCGUGAAGUCGGAAUCGCUAGUAAUCGUGAAUCAGAAUGUCACGGUGAAUACGUUCCCGGGCCUU